UACAGAGGUCUCAAGCGUUGUUCGGAUUCAUUGGGCGUAAAGGGUGCGUAGGUGGCGCCGUAAGUCGGGUGUGAAAUUUCGGAGCUUAACUCCGAAACUGCAUUCGAUACUGCGGUGCUUGAGGACUGGAGAGGAGACUGGAAUUCAUGGUGUAGCGGUGAAAUGCGCAGAUAUCAGGAGGAACACCGGUGGCGAAGGCGCUCUGCUGGACCAUAACUGACACUCAGGGACGAAAGCUAGGGGAGCGAAUGGG
This 253-nucleotide ribosomal RNA is filed under the name uncultured bacterium. RNAcentral's name for it is "partial 16S ribosomal RNA". It matches the Rfam family "Bacterial small subunit ribosomal RNA", at positions 524 to 776 of the family's 1533-position model. The record is from RNAcentral.